AAAUAUUCUUUUCAAUUGACAAAGAAUUAUUGUUUGGACUACUCUAGCUUUCUGCAUGGAAGUCUUUUACCCAGAUGUGGUCUGAAUUUUCCUCUUUCUUUAUAAAAAAUUUGUAUUUUUGUUUUUUAGCCAGAUGAUAUCAAAGACUUGUAAAGUUUUGAAUCAAAUUGAAGGAAGUUUGCAGUGUUUCAAGGGGGAAGCAAUGAAUCUACUAAAAACUGAUAAUCAGCUCCAAUUAGGGCUUAUGUCAUUUGGUUUUUGCUAAUGAUUUGUGUAAUUUAACAUAGGCGGCUGAACUACUAAAAACUUCUUGCAAUGGAUUAGAACAAUGGCCGUUUUUUGUCCAGUAUUGACAAUUGGCUUAUGAGAAUUUCCAAGAUGCAAUUUUUUUGGCUGUCAUUGGAAACGACCCAAAGAAUGUG
This 422-nucleotide long non-coding RNA is filed under the name Olea europaea (common olive). RNAcentral describes it as "long non-coding RNA (OEUR_LNC011527)". Lineage: Eukaryota; Viridiplantae; Streptophyta; Magnoliopsida; Lamiales; Oleaceae. The record is from RNAcentral.